RNAcentral lists this ribosomal RNA (301 nucleotides) under uncultured bacterium. RNAcentral's name for it is "partial 16S ribosomal RNA". It matches the Rfam family "Bacterial small subunit ribosomal RNA", at positions 509 to 807 of the family's 1533-position model. The record is from RNAcentral.
CAGUCGCCGCGGUAAUACGUAGGUGGCAAGCGUUGUCCGGAAUUAUUGGGCGUAAAGGGCUCGCGGGCGGUUUCUUAAGUCUGAUGUGAAAGCCCCCGGCUCAACCGGGGAGGGUCAUUGGAAACUGGGAAACUUGAGUGCAGAAGAGGAGAGUGGAAUUCCACGUGUAGCGGUGAAAUGCGUAGAGAUGUGGAGGAACACCAGUGGCGAAGGCGACUCUCUGGUCUGUAACUGACGCUGAGGAGCGAAAGCGUGGGGAGCGAACAGGAUUAGAUACCCCGGUAGUCCCUGUCUCUUAUAC